GGGGCUAUAGCUCAGCUGGCUAGAGCACUUGGCUGGCAGCCAAGGGGUCAGGGGUUCGAAUCCCCUUAGCUCCA
Molecule: transfer RNA, 74 nt
Filed under: Chitinophagales bacterium
Lineage: Bacteria; Pseudomonadati; Bacteroidota; Chitinophagia; Chitinophagales
Description: tRNA-Ala
Rfam family: tRNA
About the family: Transfer RNA (tRNA) molecules are approximately 80 nucleotides in length. Their secondary structure includes four short double-helical elements and three loops (D, anti-codon, and T loops). Further hydrogen bonds mediate the characteristic L-shaped molecular structure. tRNAs have two regions of fundamental functional importance: the anti-codon, which is responsible for specific mRNA codon recognition, and the 3' end, to which the tRNAs corresponding amino acid is attached (by aminoacyl-tRNA synthetases). tRNAs cope with the degeneracy of the genetic code in two manners: having more than one tRNA (with a specific anti-codon) for a particular amino acid; and 'wobble' base-pairing, i.e. permitting non-standard base-pairing at the 3rd anti-codon position.
Source: RNAcentral